This 492-nucleotide ribosomal RNA is filed under the name uncultured bacterium. RNAcentral describes it as "partial 16S ribosomal RNA". It matches the Rfam family "Bacterial small subunit ribosomal RNA", at positions 29 to 507 of the family's 1533-position model. The record is from RNAcentral.
AGUGAACGCUGGCGGUAGGCCUAACACAUGCAAGUCGAACGGCAGCACAGUAAGAGCUUGCUCUUACGGGUGGCGAGUGGCGGACGGGUGAGGAAUACAUCGGAAUCUACUUUUUCAUGGGGGAUAACGUAGGGAAACUUACGCUAAUACCGCAUACGACCUACGGGUGAAAGCAGGGGAUCUUCGGACCUUGCGCGAUUGAAUGAGCCGAUGUCGGAUUAGCUAGUUGGCGGGGUAAAGGCCCACCAAAGCGACGAUCCGUAGCUGGUCUGAGAGGAUGAUCAGCCACACUGGAACUGAGACACGGUCCAGACUCCUACGGGAGGCAGCAGUGGGGAAUAUUGGACAAUGGGCGCAAGCCUGAUCCAGCCAUACCGCGUGGGUGAAGAAGGCCUUCGGGUUGUAAAGCCCUUUUGUUGGGAAAGAAAAGCAGCAGGUUAAUACCCCGCUGUUCUGACGGUACCCAAAGAAUAAGCACCGGCUAACUUCGUG